UUUUGCAUUUAUCCAAAUUUACAACUUUUUGAACUUUAGUUGUUUUUUAGGGUCUGAGUGUUUAUUUGGGUAGUUUUUUUCUCUCUGUAAAAUAUCGAUUUUUGAAAAUGGGAAUCGAUAAUCGAUCGACAAAAUAAUAUCGUUGAUACAUCGAUAUCGUUUCUAUCGAUGACAGCCCUAACAGAUAGUUUCGAGUUUCUCGAGUAAGAACUCGGAUUGUAGUAAAGGAGAACUGAAGUAAAACUUGCUUAUCCGUUUAAUCUUCUAUCUAAGCUGUUCAGCCUCGGGUCGCGUGUACUUUUAGCCUGAACACGGAAGUAGAGUGAAUAUGUCAUGAUGUGCCAAAGAAGUACCAGUACUCACAGUAUCUCUUUGGAUGUUCAUAUAAAGUGGAAAUCUAGGAAAAAUCAAAUGUUAGAUGUCAGGUCAUCUAAGUGCAAUCGAUGAUGUUAUUCAACAUGCUGUGGCCGCAUUGAACUAGAAGUCAUUUCUGGAACAGAAUCCAGGGAUCAUAAGAGAAAUGUAUAUAUAGCCAAUGAUGAUGAUACCUGCUGGCCAAUCACUGCCAAAGAUUAGAAUAACCUAUUCACAGAAAUAUGGCAUCUUUCACACAUAUGGAAUGGAACAUUUUUGCCAAGAUGCUACAUAAACUCUGACACCGAGAAUAUGGCACCUUUCACACAUAUGGAAUGGAACAUUUUUGCCAAGAGGCUACAUAAACUCUGACACCGAGAAUAUGGCACCUUUCACACAGUCAUAUGGAAUGGAACAUUUUUGCAAAGACGCAACAUAAUCUCUGACACCGAACGUACAUUACGACUAGUAGGACAAUAAUGGUAACAUAAAUUACACCAUGUUAAAAACUCUUGUCUUCGGUAUUACUGCAGCCGGUCAGAUUUUGGAUUUAAUAAAUGUAUAUCAUGAAGUCACUUACAGGACAGUACCUAUUGUCAAAUUAACUGUGUCAUAUGACAUAAGCCCUGCUUAGACAUUACUUACACUAAGUCUUGUCAACAAAUAUAUUUAUUGCUUAGACUUUAUGAUUUGAUUUUUGUCGAAAAAUAUGCAUAAUUUCUGCAGCAGAUCCUAGACUAGCGCAAUAUUGUUCUGAGAAAGAAUAAAUUCAUAUUUCUGGAUGCAAAGCUAAUUUUCAUUACA
Molecule: long non-coding RNA, 1158 nt
Organism: Mercenaria mercenaria
Lineage: Eukaryota; Metazoa; Mollusca; Bivalvia; Venerida; Veneridae
Exons: 2
Source: RefSeq, a predicted model, not a curated record